Molecule: ribosomal RNA, 1253 nt
Filed under: Ligilactobacillus salivarius
Lineage: Bacteria; Bacillati; Bacillota; Bacilli; Lactobacillales; Lactobacillaceae
Description: bacterial LSU rRNA
Rfam family: Bacterial large subunit ribosomal RNA
Source: RNAcentral
UUAGGUUAAGUUAUUAAGGGCGUAUGGUGGAUGCCUUGGCACUAGGAGCCGAUGAAGGACGUGACUAACUGCGAUAUGCUUCGGGGAGUUGUAAGUAAACUAUGAUCCGGAGAUUUCCGAAUGGGGAAACCUAACAGGUUUUACCGCCUGUUAUCACUAAGUGAAUUCAUAGCUUAGUUGAAGGUAGACGUGGGGAACUGAAACAUCUAAGUACCCACAGGAAGAGAAAGAAAUUCGAUUCCCUCAGUAGCGGCGAGCGAACCGGGAAGAGCCCAAACUAAGAAGCUUGCUUCUUAGGGUUGUAGGACUGAACAUCUGAGUUACCAAGAAAUGAAGUAGUUGAAUAAUCUGGGAAGAUUAGCCAAAGAGAGUGAUAGCCUCGUAAACGAAACUUCGUUUCCUCAGUUCAGGAUCCUGAGUACGGCGGAACACGUGAAACUCCGUCGGAAUCCGGGAGGACCAUCUCCCAAGGCUAAAUACUACCUAGUGACCGAUAGUGAACCAGUACCGUGAGGGAAAGGUGAAAAGCACCCCGGGAGGGGAGUGAAAUAGUUCCUGAAACCAUAUGCCUACAAGUAGUCAGAGCUCGUUAAUGAGUGAUGGCGUGCCUUUUGUAGAAUGAACCGGCGAGUUACGUUAGCGUGCGAGGUUAAGGAGGAAAGUCCGGAGCCGUAGCGAAAGCGAGUCUGAAUAGGGCGAGAUAGUACGUUGACGUAGACCCGAAACCAGGUGACCUACCCAUGUCCAGGUUGAAGGUGCGGUAAAACGCACUGGAGGACCGAACCCGUGUAUGUUGAAAAAUGCUGGGAUGAGGUGUGGGUAGAGGUGAAAUUCCAAACGAACUUGGAGAUAGCUGGUUCUCUCCGAAAUAGCUUUAGGGCUAGCCUCGGAGUUAAGAAUCGUGGAGGUAGAGCACUGUUUGGACUAGGGGCCCGUCUUGGGUUACUGAAUUCAGAUAAACUCCGAAUGCCACAGAUUUAUAUCCGGGAGUCAGACUGCGAGUGAUAAGAUCCGUAGUCGAAAGGGAAACAGCCCAGACCACCGAUUAAGGUCCCAAAAUAUGUGUUAAGUGGAAAAGGAUGUGGAAUUGCAUAGACAACUAGGAUGUUGGCUUAGAAGCAGCCACCAUUUAAAGAGUGCGUAAUAGCUCACUAGUCGAGUGAUCCUGCGCCGAAAAUGUAACGGGGCUAAACACAUUACCGAAAUCGUGGAUGUACCUUAGGGUACAUGGUAGGAGAGCGUUCUAAGGACGG